Long non-coding RNA from Amphimedon queenslandica, 1434 nucleotides. RefSeq lists it as uncharacterized. The transcript has 6 exons. The record is from RefSeq and is a predicted model, not a curated record. Lineage: Eukaryota; Metazoa; Porifera; Demospongiae; Haplosclerida; Niphatidae.
CACCCAAGAGUUACCAUGCAUGAUCCGUGAAUGAUGGGUAUCAGGCCUGGACCAGGUUUGAUUCUAUAACGGUCCAGCAUCGACGGCCAUCACUGCUGAAUCGAGGCUGUUGCUCUGGCCUGGACCAGUAUCUAUUUCAGUCCCGAUGUAGUCAUAGCUGAUACAGUAAUGUCUGUUCGUCAGCACUGGUCCAGGCUGUAUAUCAGUACUGGAUCAGAUCGAUGCUUUUCAAGAUGGCAGCCCCGCGUGGACUAUCUGACAUGUUUUGUUAAAGAAAAUCAUCUUAAUCUGACUCUUUAAGAGGAAUCUUGUUGGCUGUAUACACUAGGGCUAAAUCACUGGAUGUUAUGCUAUUUUGAACCAUUUAUUACUUAAACAUGAGUAGGAUACACGAUAUUUUGAGUAAAAAGUAGGCACAUGUAGAUACACAAUCAAGCUAAAUAAAUUAAUUGAGCAGAUACAUGACUGGAAAAUAAAACGACUGACACCUUCCAAUUAAAGUUUACCACAUCUUGCCUACAAAAUCUCUAUGAUACAAAAGUAAAGACCUGGGUUUACGAGGAAUUAUCAAAGGGGUAUAAACUGCAUGAACAAACUUAUAAUAAAUUUAGGCUAAUUAUUAUUGUGAGAUUAAUGACUUCAGUUUAAUUGACUAUAAUUAGAAGUACAUACCUUUCAUUAUGGAUUCUCCGUUAACUUUCUAGUAUUGAGCCUAGCAUUGAAACAGAGCCAGAAGACCUUUCUGCAAUAAAUCAUGACACUAGUGAAGACGAUGAGAAAUCAGGCGUAAAAAUGGUUCACUACAUGUGAUUGUAACUAUGUUUUUAAUUAGAGUGGAUGUAUUAGUGAUCAUGAUGAUAAAGAUAUUGUACUGAGAGACUUAUGAAUGAUAGUCACAAGUGUGAAUUUUUGAUGCGGAAGAUUAUUCUGGAAAUAUUAGUAUAGUAGGUGCUCCUUUAAUUCAUAUUAAUUUAUUAAUUUAGCAAGGCCACUAGUAUACAUUCUAUAGUUACCUUAUCUCACUAAGUUUCAAGACAAGAUAAUCUUAGGUUUGUUUAAUUUCAUGUGAAAAGCUAAAUUCAUUAUUCAGGUUGUGAUGAACUGAAACUUUCUUGUUUAAAGCUCUUGUUAAGUUCACUUCAAAUAGCAUUGAAUUUUUUUGUGAACCUGCCUUCAUCAUGCUGGUUAAGGAAGUUAUGUUAUGGAAUUAAGCUUUGUAGGACUAUGUGUGACAAGAUACCUUUGAAAGAUCUGCUUCACUACAUGGAACCCGAGAGUUCAUUAAUGUUGGAGAUUUUGGGAAAUUAAUUUCUCAGUAAUGUGUCUUAAGUUACAAAACAUGAAGUGUCUUACUUGUGGAACAUUGGUAGACUAUGAUAAAGAAAACAAUUAUAAUCUUUUUUUGUUUUAAUAAUAAUUUCAAAUCAUUUUAAA